GACAAUAACAGGUUGAUAACUGGAAGAAAAAACUUAGAUAAAUUAAAUAUAAUUCAUUUAAAAAAUUGUUAUUUUUUUUUUCCAGAACCCCUUCACUGCAACCCUUCCUUGCACCGCCAUUGAUUUCCGAUCUCCGUCAAUCUGAAGCAACACCAUCACCGUGGAGACCAGCUGAUUGCUGCCAAUUUCUUUCUCCCCUCCUUUUUCUUUUUGAUUUUUCUAUAUGGUUUACAGUACUAUAUAGUAAGAGCCUUUGUCAAAAUAUAAAAGGGAGCAACUCAUUGUUGGAUGAAAACACAAGAUGAUGAAGCAAAUUCUGAAUUUGGGAUGAAAUCGACUAUUUCAUGUUUGGAUUUUUUUCUAGAAGAGUUGUGGUAGGA
Molecule: long non-coding RNA, 380 nt
Filed under: Glycine max (soybean)
Lineage: Eukaryota; Viridiplantae; Streptophyta; Magnoliopsida; Fabales; Fabaceae
Description: long non-coding RNA (GMAX_LNC001929)
Source: RNAcentral